Molecule: transfer RNA, 64 nt
Filed under: human gut metagenome
Rfam family: tRNA
About the family: Transfer RNA (tRNA) molecules are approximately 80 nucleotides in length. Their secondary structure includes four short double-helical elements and three loops (D, anti-codon, and T loops).
Source: RNAcentral
GUUAGCUCAACUGGAUAGAGUACCGGUCUUCGGAACCGAUGGUGUGGGUUCAAAUCCCUCACGG